CAGGCUUAACACAUGCAAGUCGAGGGGCAGCAGGAUCUAGCAAUAGAUUGCUGGCGACCGGCGCACGGGUGAGUAACACGUAUCCAACCUGCCGAUAACUCGGGGAUAGCCUUUCGAAAGAAAGAUUAAUACCCGAUGGUAUAAUCAGACCGCAUGGUUUGAUUAUUAAAGAAUUUCGGUUAUCGAUGGGGAUGCGUUCCAUUAGGCAGUUGGUGAGGUAACGGCUCACCAAACCUUCGAUGGAUAGGGGUUCUGAGAGGAAGGUCCCCCACAUUGGAACUGAGACACGGUCCAAACUCCUACGGGAGGCAGCAGUGAGGAAUAUUGGUCAAUGGGCGCAGGCCUGAACCAGCCAAGUAGCGUGAAGGAUGACUGCCCUAUGGGUUGUAAACUUCUUUUAUAUGGGAAUAAAGUUUUCCACGUGUGGAAUUUUGUAUGUACCAUAUGAAUGAGGAUCGGCUAACUCCGUGCCAGCAGCCGCGGUAAUACGGAGGAUCCGAGCGUUAUCCGGAUUUAUUGGGUUUAAAGGGAGCGUAGGUGGACAGUUAAGUCAGUUGUGAAAGUUUGCGGCUCAACCGUAAAAUUGCAGUUGAUACUGGCUGUCUUGAGUACAGUAGAGGUGGGCGGAAUUCGUGGUGUAGCGGUGAAAUGCUUAGAUAUCACGAAGAACUCCGAUUGCGAAGGCAGCUCACUGGACUGCAACUGACACUGAUGCUCGAAAGUGUGGGUAUCAAACAGGAUUAGAUACCCUGGUAGUCCACACAGUAAACGAUGAAUACUCGCUGUUUGCGAUAUACAGUAAGCGGCCAAGCGAAAGCAUUAAGUAUUCCACCUGGGGAGUACGCCGGCAACGGUGAAACUCAAAGGAAUUGACGGGGGCCCGCACAAGCGGAGGAACAUGUGGUUUAAUUCGAUGAUACGCGAGGAACCUUACCCGGGCUUAAAUUGCAUUUGAAUAAUCUGGAAACAGGUUAGCCGCAAGGCAAAUGUGAAGGUGCUGCAUGGUUGUCGUCAGCUCGUGCCGUGAGGUGUCGGCUUAAGUGCCAUAACGAGCGCAACCCUUAUCUUUAGUUACUAACAGGUCAUGCUGAGGACUCUAGAGAGACUGCCGUCGUAAGAUGUGAGGAAGGUGGGGAUGACGUCAAAUCAGCACGGCCCUUACGUCCGGGGCUACACACGUGUUACAAUGGGGGGUACAGAAGGCAGCUACCUGGUGACAGGAUGCUAAUCCCAAAAGCCUCUCUCAGUUCGGAUCGAAGUCUGCAACCCGACUUCGUGAAGCUGGAUUCGCUAGUAAUCGCGCAUCAGCCAUGGCGCGGUGAAUACGUUCCCGGGCCUUGUACACACCGCCCGUCAAGCCAUGAAAGCCGGGGGUAAGGGAAGUACGUAACCGCAAGGAGCGUCCUAGGGUA
Molecule: ribosomal RNA, 1412 nt
Filed under: uncultured organism
Description: 16S ribosomal RNA
Rfam family: Bacterial small subunit ribosomal RNA
Source: RNAcentral